This 1175-nucleotide ribosomal RNA is filed under the name Lactiplantibacillus paraplantarum. RNAcentral's name for it is "bacterial SSU rRNA". It matches the Rfam family "Bacterial small subunit ribosomal RNA", at positions 25 to 1173 of the family's 1533-position model. The record is from RNAcentral. Lineage: Bacteria; Bacillati; Bacillota; Bacilli; Lactobacillales; Lactobacillaceae.
GGGGGCAAUUGGGGGGUGCUAUACAUGCAGUCGAACGAACUCUGGUAUUGAUUGGUGCUUGCAUCAUGAUUUACAUUUGAGUGAGUGGCGAACUGGUGAGUAACACGUGGGAAACCUGCCCAGAAGCGGGGGAUAACACCUGGAAACAGAUGCUAAUACCGCAUAACAACUUGGACCGCAUGGUCCGAGUUUGAAAGAUGGCUUCGGCUAUCACUUUUGGAUGGUCCCGCGGCGUAUUAGCUAGAUGGUGAGGUAACGGCUCACCAUGGCAAUGAUACGUAGCCGACCUGAGAGGGUAAUCGGCCACAUUGGGACUGAGACACGGCCCAAACUCCUACGGGAGGCAGCAGUAGGGAAUCUUCCACAAUGGACGAAAGUCUGAUGGAGCAACGCCGCGUGAGUGAAGAAGGGUUUCGGCUCGUAAAACUCUGUUGUUAAAGAAGAACAUAUCUGAGAGUAACUGUUCAGGUAUUGACGGUAUUUAACCAGAAAGCCACGGCUAACUACGUGCCAGCAGCCGCGGUAAUACGUAGGUGGCAAGCGUUGUCCGGAUUUAUUGGGCGUAAAGCGAGCGCAGGCGGUUUUUUAAGUCUGAUGUGAAAGCCUUCGGCUCAACCGAAGAAGUGCAUCGGAAACUGGGAAACUUGAGUGCAGAAGAGGACAGUGGAACUCCAUGUGUAGCGGUGAAAUGCGUAGAUAUAUGGAAGAACACCAGUGGCGAAAGCGGCUGUCUGGUCUGUAACUGACGCUUAGGCUCGAAAGUAUGGGUAGCAAACAGGAUUAGAUACCCUGGUAGUCCAUACCGUAAACGAUGAAUGCUAAGUGUUGGAGGGUUUCCGCCCUUCAGUGCUGCAGCUAACGCAUUAAGCAUUCCGCCUGGGGAGUACGGCCGCAAGGCUGAAACUCAAAGGAAUUGACGGGGGCCCGCACAAGCGGUGGAGCAUGUGGUUUAAUUCGAAGCUACGCGAAGAACCUUACCAGGUCUUGACAUACUAUGCAAAUCUAAGAGAUUAGACGUUCCCUUCGGGGACAUGGAUACAGGUGGUGCAUGGUUGUCGUCACCUCCGGUCGGGAGAUGUUGGGGUAAGUCCCGCACGGAGGGCACCCUUAUUAUCAGUUGCCGCCAUUAAAUUGGGGCCUCUUGUGGAAAAUGCCGGGGCCCAACCGGGGGGAGG